UACGUAGGGUGCGAGCGUUGUCCGGAAUUAUUGGGCGUAAAGAGCUCGUAGGCGGUCUGUCGCGUCGGAUGUGAAAGCCCGGGGCUUAACUCCGGGUCUGCAUUCGAUACGGGCAGACUAGAGUGUGUUAGGGGAGAUCGGAAUUCCUGGUGUAGCGGUGAAAUGCGCAGAUAUCAGGAGGAACACCGGUGGCGAAGGCGGAUCUCUGGGCCAUUACUGACGCUGAGGAGCGAAAGCGUGGGGAGCGAACAGG
This 253-nucleotide ribosomal RNA is filed under the name uncultured bacterium. RNAcentral describes it as "partial 16S ribosomal RNA". It matches the Rfam family "Bacterial small subunit ribosomal RNA", at positions 524 to 776 of the family's 1533-position model. The record is from RNAcentral.